UUGAGGUGUAAAAUUUAAUUAGAAAUAAUUUACUUGAGUAUUACGAGUUGCAUAAAGGUACUUUAUUGCAGAAAUCUUAAAACUCAAAAGACUUGGCGGUGUCUUAGGUCCUUCUAGGGGAACCUGUCCUAUAAUUGAUAGUCCACGAUUUAUCUUUCCUUUUUUUGAAAUAUUCAGCUUGUAUACCGUCGUCGUCAGAUUACCUUUAAGAGUUAAAUAAGUUAUCGGGAGGAAAAGUACGGAUUGAUAUUUAUUUGGGUUUUAUAGCUUAGUAUAGACUUCAUGAGAGUAAUUUUCUAGAUGUCAGAUCAAGGUGCAGCCAAUGAAAAGGUAGAGAUGGGUUACAAUAAUUAUUUAUUAUUUACGGAUUUCUUAUUGAAAGUUAUAAGAAUUGAAGGCGGACUUAGAAGUAAUUAGUAAGAAAAAUAGAAAGUUUCGGUGAAAAUGGCACUAAGAUGUG
Molecule: ribosomal RNA, 460 nt
Filed under: Tegula quadricostata
Lineage: Eukaryota; Metazoa; Mollusca; Gastropoda; Trochida; Tegulidae
Description: partial 12S ribosomal RNA
Source: RNAcentral